This 114-nucleotide ribosomal RNA is filed under the name Octodon degus (degu). Lineage: Eukaryota; Metazoa; Chordata; Mammalia; Rodentia; Octodontidae. The record is from RNAcentral.
AUAGCCAUACCACCCUGAACAUGCCUAAUCUCGUCUGAUCUCGGAAGCUAAGCAGGGCCGGGUCUGGUUAGUACUUGGAUGGGACACAAUCUUAGGAACAGAGUAUUCACUAUU